This is an RNA transcript of Carya illinoinensis, 680 nucleotides long. It is a transcript of the gene named serine/threonine-protein phosphatase 6 regulatory subunit 3-like, with no coding region annotated. NCBI's taxonomy places the organism in Eukaryota, Viridiplantae, Streptophyta, Magnoliopsida, Fagales, Juglandaceae. The transcript has 4 exons. The record is from RefSeq and is a predicted model, not a curated record.
UCUCUAUCCUCAGUGGCGUCUGUUCCUCCGCAAUCACCUCCAUGGAUCUCUUCUGCCAUUUUCAUCUCUACUCACCAACUCCUCUCUCACUUUCUCUAUCUUCAGCUGCUUGUUCUGAUUGAUCUCUUCCUGGAGCAAUACAAAGCUCUCCCUGUUCAGCUUCAAACUUCACAUUAGAGUGACCUACUUGCACUUCUGAAUGUGUCAUCUCAUGAGAAGAUACUACCUACUACAUAUGAAAAAUUGAGGCCUCCUCUUGGGAAGCAUCAUUUAAAGAUUGUGGAGUUCAUUGCAGUGUUAUUGAAAACUACCAAUGAUGCUGCACAGAAUGAAUUGGUCAGCACAAGAAACAUUCGACAAGCCAUUGAUCUUUUAUUUGAGUACCCAUACAAUAACUCGCUACACCACCAUGUAGAGAGUAUUGUAUUCUCAUGUUGGAUAGCAAGACUGAUAGCAUCGCCAAUCAUCUUUUUCGAUAGUGCAAUUUAAUUGGAAAGAUUCUCCAAACAGAUAAAGCACCUAUUCUUUCUGGUGGCAGUAAUCAGGUCAAUCUUUUAUGACUCUCAAAUAUCAUUGUAGUACAUUUAUAAUGCUUUGCUGAACCAAAUAGAAUUAAAAUGAAGGUACAAAAAUAAAAAGGACUAGUAGUCAAAAUAUAGACACAUGGCAAAGUAUGUGUA